Molecule: ribosomal RNA, 348 nt
Filed under: uncultured soil bacterium
Lineage: Bacteria
Description: bacterial SSU rRNA
Rfam family: Bacterial small subunit ribosomal RNA
Source: RNAcentral
AGAGUGAACGCUGGCGGCAGGCCUAACACAUGCAAGUCGAACGGCAGCACAGGAGAGCUUGCUCUCUGGGUGGCGAGUGGCGGACGGGUGAGGAAUACGUCGGAAUCUGCCUAUUUGUGGGGGAUAACGUAGGGAAACUUACGCUAAUACCGCAUACGACCUACGGGUGAAAGCGGAGGACCUUCGGGCUUCGCGCAGAUAGAUGAGCCGACGUCGGAUUAGCUAGUUGGCGGGUAAAGGCCCACCAAGGCGACGAUCCGUAGCUGGUCUGAGAGGAUGAUCAGCCACACUGGAACUGAGACACGGUCCAGACUCCUACGGGAGGCAGCAGUGGGGAAUAUUGGACAA